This is a small nuclear RNA of Hemicordylus capensis (graceful crag lizard), 102 nucleotides long. NCBI's taxonomy places the organism in Eukaryota, Metazoa, Chordata, Lepidosauria, Squamata, Cordylidae. The record is from RefSeq and is a predicted model, not a curated record.
UCUCACUUUGGUGACAAACAUACUAAAGUUGGAACAAUACAGAGAUGAGCAUGGCCCUUGUGCAAGAAUGACACACAAAUUUGUGAAGUGUUAUCAUGAGCA